UGUUCUAAUAAUCUGUAAUUAUCCGUUUACUGAAAUUUUUGCAACAAACUCUGGUGACUAAGCACCUUAGUGACACGGCCUAUUGGGAGACAUUUCCAGCAGCUUCCACUUUCUUCUUCCAGCCGUGACUUCCUUGGAGAAAAAGAAAGAAAACUUCUAUGAAAGCCUAAGCUUCAAGCUUAGAUCUUUUACUCUCUUAAACUCCAAUAAAAAAAAUCCAAACCGAUUAAAGUGAUCCUCUCUUCCUUAUCUUCAAAUCCAUAUCACUUUUCAUAGAGCAAAAUCAGAUAUGGUGGUUGUUCUUCCUCCAUGUUAAGUUCGGCCAAGGAGCAUCAUGUUAAACUAGUGCUUUUUUUAUGUUUCUUCUUAGAUUUCUUGUCGAGUUGACUUGUGAGUCAAGAAAUCUCCAUUUUCAGCAAUAUUAAGGUGAAAAAGUGAAUUAGGAAGAUUCUUGGUGCAGCCGGUUUGGAGGCAACAGCAAAGAGGUAAAUUCUGGCUGAAAUUGAGGGACUUGAGCAAAACUCUGAGAAGGAGGCUGACAAAGGACUGCUGAUGCUGUUGGAAUCUGACCUCCCUGCACUCGAAAUGGAUUUUCUGGAGCUACAGAACUCCAAAUGGCGCGCUCUCAACGAAGUUGGAAAGUAGACAUCCAGAACUUUCCAGCAAUAUAUAAUAGUACAUACUUUAUUCGGGAAUUGAUGACGUAAAUUGGCGCUCAACGCCAGUUCCAUGUUGCUGUUUGGAGUCAAACGCCAGAAACACGUCACGACCCGGAGUUGAACGCCCAAAACACGUUAUAACUUGGCGUUCAACUCCAAGAGAAGCCUCAGCUCGUGGAUAGAACAAGCUCAGC
This is a long non-coding RNA of Arachis stenosperma, 853 nucleotides long. RefSeq lists it as uncharacterized. The transcript has 3 exons. Lineage: Eukaryota; Viridiplantae; Streptophyta; Magnoliopsida; Fabales; Fabaceae. The record is from RefSeq and is a predicted model, not a curated record.